RNAcentral lists this unclassified non-coding RNA (309 nucleotides) under plant metagenome. RNAcentral's name for it is "partial contains 5.8S ribosomal RNA, internal transcribed spacer 2, and large subunit ribosomal RNA". The stretch from base 1 to 105 matches the Rfam family "5.8S ribosomal RNA", at positions 50 to 154 of the family's 154-position model. The record is from RNAcentral.
GAAAUGCGAUAAGUAGUGUGAAUUGCAGAAUUCAGUGAAUCAUCGAAUCUUUGAACGCACAUUGCACCCCUUGGUAUUCCAUGGGGCAUGCCUGUUCGAGCGUCAUUUGUACCCUCAAGCUCUGCUUGGUGUUGGGUGUUUGUCCCGUCUCCGCGCGUGGACUCGCCCCAAAGUGAUUGGCAGCCGGCGUACUGGUCCCGGACCGCAGCACAUGUCGCGCAAACGAGUGCCUUGGUACGGCGGCGUCCAUAAGCCCCUCUCUCACGCUCUUGACCUCGGAUCAGGUAGGGAUACCCGCUGAACUUAAGC